UAACGUGCGAUUUGCCAUCUGCUUCGGAGAUGUUCCCGUUCGCUCUUGUUGACGCCACGGCUAUAGUGUUUUCGAAUGUCGACGCUGUGAAAAUGUAACGUGAUCGGACUCGGACGGUUGCCCUGACCAGACCACCCUCCGUAUUUAUUUUGCCGUCACUCGGGUCAGACGGACUCUGGUGAGGGACUUUGAACGCGUCUGAUAGUGAAUCAUUUACAUCGCAUUGAAAAAGGCACCCUGGACCGCCCAGAGAUACUGAUGUGCCAAAGAUUCCUAGCCUAUUUUCCGCCGCGUAUUUUCCCUUGCGACGUGCACGCUUAGAGUCUAUUUAUUUCCAAAGUAUGUUAGCCUUCCUACCUGGGAACUGGGCUGUUGCUGUGUGUGAUAGAUUUUUUUUAACCGGUGAACGAUCAAGGUGUGUCCUGACGCUCUUGACCCCCAGUAGUUCCCGGGAGGUUGAUAGUCUCUACGGGCCGAGUCCGAAACCGACCGGCGGAAACGGAUGUAGUUUUAGGGAACGUCGUUUGCAAUCCGUGUGACGUGUCACCCGCAGACAGAGAGGUGCCGAGCGGGCAGAGAAACGAAUCCAGAGGAAAUGGAGCGACGGCACACGCAAAGGCAAACGUGACUCGAUUCGUUUGAGGAUUGAUGAGGCCCACCAUUUUUCCGUUUUUCAAAAACCCAUUCACGUGGAACCCUGUCGAAUCAAAACACAUUAAGCUCGCUGUCUCCCUUCUCUGCGCAUCCUCGCUGAACCCGUCAGAGGACAUCAGGAGGCAAGACGACAUAUAAACCCUUCUAGACAAAUCCUCUUCUUCAUCACCAACAAAUAUUUCAGCCCUCGGUGCAUUAUUUAAGAACUCCAAGGAAGGAAAGUCAACUGCCCCGCACACAGAAUGCAAAGGAACAGAGUGUCUAUCCCUCUCUUUAAUGGGGUCAACACACCCAGCAAGUGCUCCGUAAAUAUUAAUAGUCUCAGCAGGAGAACAAACACCCAGGUUAGAAAAGGAGAGACGCGCUGCCCCAGCAUCCAACAGCUGUUCUCAGGGAUCCAGAUUAUUGAGGAAAUGAAUACCCUCACCCUUUUCAAGAAAAACUCCACCUGCUUCUGCCCAUCUGUGCCCUUUUGGCUCCUUGAUGUUCCCUGGUGGCACUGGGAACCCUGGAGAACCAGAAGUUGGAUUUCUGUUUUUCCUGCUCCUGACAAGAAGAUGGCUUCACUUUAGAGUGCACUCAUAAAAGGACUUUGGAGAACGAGAACAAUGCAAAUGUUUUAUGGCAUUUCCGAAGAGUUUCAUAGGUGCCAGACACCGUGUCAGGCACUGGGGUAGAUGAAAGACUGAAAAAUUGGACACAGUACCAUUCUACGUGGACUUAACGAUUUAAGAGUUGGCAGUUUCCAUCGGGCCUCCCCAGCCGCUGAUGUCUGCUUUCUCCGGGGUCUCUAGCAGCCACUUCAUCCUUAUUAAUGGGACCUAAAAGGCCGCCACAGUGGAAAGCUUGAACAUUUCCCCGGGGAGAUACACGGAAUAGAGGAACACUUCUCUCCCGAGUUCUGUCAUCCCUUUGAACCACAGAUACGCCUUUUAUUCUCCACUUUUUAGGCAUUGAUGUUUAAUGAGCUCUGUCAAAAAUACCACAAGUUCCCCGAGUCCUGCAAACAAUGGAAAAAUAUGAUGGUUAUUGCUUAUAGUGCAGGCUAGUGGUUAGAGAAAACCCAGAAAGCAAAGCUGUUCGCCACAGGCAAGUAAGGUCCCAAACCAGGUAAGAUCCUGCUUAUCAUUAAGAAGUCUUGGGUGGCACCGUCUCCUCGAGAAAAAUGUAAUUCACUGAAUUUGACCCGUCUAAUAUCCGUGGUGCUGGCCUAUUUAGAGGAGGAGCUGGGAUUUCUUUAUCCUGAUUCCCACACAGUCACACAUUUGUUCAGCUCGGGUACUGAGGAGAAAUGCAUUUCGUAAACACGGUUUCUGAAAAGAGGGUUUUAUGAGGCGGUCCUGAAGCCGUUACCGUCUGAUACGCGCUUUGUUAAACUGUAGGGAAAGCGCAGACCAGUGAAAUAGUUGACAGGGUCCUAGAAAUCCUAAUGGAUAGGAAAAUAUGCUUUUCAAUAGAAAAAGAGACAGACACACAGAGAGAAAGCAAACAAAGAGAAGCUGCUCGGGCUAAUCAACCCUGCUUAAGGGAAGACCACUUCUUAACCAACCAGGGUCAUGGCAGCAUCCGGCAAAGCUUUGCUUCCUCAGCUUUGUGAUCCGCAGUCUCUCAUAUUACCGCUCCUCUCAUUUGUCUUCCCUUCCGCCCCUGCGAACGGCCCUCUGGCAUUGCCAAAAAUUUGAGACAAGAAUGAAAAAUGUUUUGCUCGAUUGCUAACCUGUGAAAAUGUGAUUUUUCGCCAGUGUUGUGGUGGUGGUGGGGAGUUUUUCUCAGGGCUCUCAUCGGGGCUGGCUGGCUUUUGACGUGCAAGUAAAAUUCCUGCCUAAGUGAGUAAACGCCACUCUUGAUUGGAGCCCGAAAAGCUGUUUCAUCCUUUCGCUUUGGGCUAGGCUUUCCACUAACCUCCAGAGGAGCCUUCCACCCCCCUACGGAUCGGGAAACCGAGGGGAAAGGAGCCCAUGGGAGACGAGGAGGAGAGCUCCUGCACACGGAGGCCACACGAAAGGGCUUGAGCUGAGCAGCGGCAGCUGAUUAGCUCAUCCUUUAGCCAUCUCCAGGGAUUUUCAUUUUGGGAGCCAGAUCCUGCCCACGAGUCACACGGGAAUAUAGAAUUGCAGAGCAGGAAAGGACCUUCAGGGGUCUUCCCCUCCACACCCUCACCCCGCCUUCGGGCAGAACCUCACCUUGUCUGGGCCUCGGGCCCUGUACGGAAAUCUCGAACGUAUGUGUGUUUCUGUUGUUUGUGUUAAAUCUUGCCAGGUUCUUCAUAGGCAACAUUUCCUGCAUCCGCCCCUUCCUCCCCACCCAACCGGCUACCGUCCGGUCCAAACUCCCGGCAGAGCGCAGUUAGACUAUGUCGAAGCUUUGGUUUUCCCUCACCCCCAGCCUCUUCCCUUCAGUGGCGUGCCGUUUGCAGGGAUCAGCUUCUUCAGGUGUUACUCGGCACACAUCUGAACACCUAUUUUGUGCAGAGCACUGUACUAAGCAUGUGGGUGAGUGCAUUAGCUAGCAGACAGCGCCCCUUCCCUCGGGUAGCUUCUACUCUAGGAGGUUAGUAUAGUCUAGUGGUGGAGAAAGGUGAAUAUGCUGACCGAGUGGACUUGGAACUGCGACCUUCGGGCAUUUGCUAUUCACUCCACCGUCAGCUUCACAGCACUAAAGUAUAUCUCUAUGAAUUAUAUAUUUUAAAUUAUUUAUAUUUAAUGUCUGUCUCCCAUUCUAUACUGUAAGCAUUUUGUGGGCAGAGAACAUGUCUACUAACUCUGUUGUAAUCUCCCAAAUGCUUAGCACAGUCAACGGUCAACGAAUACCACCGGUGAUGACGACGACGACUAAUUCAACAUCUCAGCAGAGUAUCCGCUCUCUUCUGUGUCAACCCGACUUGCUCCCUUUGCUCUUUCCCCAUCUCCCUGCCCCACAUCAUUUAAGUUUAUACCUGUAAUUUAUUUAUAUUGAUGUCUGUUUAGUUAUAUCGAUGUCUGUCUCCCCCCACCGCCCUAGACUGUGAGCUCACUGUGGGCAGGAACGGUCUCUCUUUGUUGCCGUAUUGCAUUUUACCAAGCGCAGAGUACAGUGCUCUGCACACAGUAAGCGCUUAAUAAAUGCCACUGAAUGAAUGAAGGAGGAAUUCGUAUUACUGGAAAUGGGGGAAACAAGGUUUCCGUGAUGUGAUGGGCCUUAGUUACAGCAGAAGAGCUGUCACGGAAGCAGGAUUCCUAAAUUCUCGUCUAAGGAAAUUGACUUAAACUUCUUGGGGGUUUGGCUGAGGAGAGCCGCCCCGAAUGAAAAUCCCCCAGGAGCAAAUAAACCCAGAAAUCCACCUCUCUCCACGCACACCCACCAGCUGUGGAGAAGAGGGCAGGUUGCUGUGACCCGAGUGGUCAAUAAGCAGUCGACGGCCCUGGUGAGGAUGCCUCUGAAAAUGGCAGCCAGUCCCAUUCCGUUCAAUAAUUAACGGCUGGCCCCUCCAGGCUCCCGGCCCAGGGAGUGUCCCAGGAAACUAGGGACUCUGCUGACUGAUGAGCCUGAGGUCACCUGUGAUGUAUUUCUGAGAUUCAGAAAAUUGAACUCUUUCCCUUCCUGCUGCCCUGGCCCCGGUUCAUGUUCUGUGAUAAUAUUUUCCGGCACAGAAAACUUCCAGUCCGCACCAACAGAUUUGAUUUAUUCAACGAGACCACAGAGGGCAGCUAAUCACAGGCAGUGCCCUCCAGGAUGGAUCUCAGCGGACCUCUGGACGCCAGCUUGAACAGUCCCGUAAACCCUGCUGGCCGUGGACAGGGAGGCUUUUUCGCUAUGGAGAGGAUUGUUGAACAACUGAUUGCUGAACCCAAUUGUAUUUUAGGGGAGGCAGGAAGACAGACUAACUGCGGUAAUUGGCUCGGAAACACACCGGGGAGACCUUCCCAGCUAAGGUUCGGGAGAUGCUACAAACAUGCAUCGUAAGUUCCUCGGCGCUUCUCUCAGAGGUCACCGAUGAUCUCUUUCUCGCCAAAUACAAGGCCUCGCUUGGACCUCUCAGUCGUCUUUGACACUGUCAACCACCGCAUCGUAAGUUCCUCGGCGCUUCUCUCAGAGGUCACCGAUGAUCUCUUUCUCGCCAAAUACAAGGCCUCGCUUGGACCUCUCAGUCGUCUUUGACACUGUCAACCACCUCCUUUUCCUGGAAACACCCA
Ornithorhynchus anatinus (platypus) is the source of this 4826-nucleotide long non-coding RNA. RefSeq lists it as uncharacterized. Lineage: Eukaryota; Metazoa; Chordata; Mammalia; Monotremata; Ornithorhynchidae. The transcript has 9 exons. The record is from RefSeq and is a predicted model, not a curated record.